GAAUGCCCAGACUCUGUCAGGACACACCUGCAACCCAGGCUGCUCUCCUAGCACCUCUCCUGCCAUUCCUGACCCCCAACGAUGCUGCAUCCCUCCCUCCCUCAAUCUGAGAAAGAAGUUGGCUAGAUGCUUUGAGAAGAGACUACCCUCUACUAAACACUGGAAUCAAAGGCAAGCAGGAGGGGAAACAGGCUUUGAACAUAACAAAACAUGUGGCAGUCCCCCAAAAGCAGCCCUUUUAAGAUCACUGUAUGGAAGGCUGUGCCCAUGGAGUGUGACCCCGCGGAGGCCUGUACAUUAAUCAUGAUGUGGAGAGAGGGCCCCAGACAAGCCUGGGACAUUCCUGGGACAGCUUGCCGCUGGGCAGGUGAAGCAGCCAGUCACGCCGACACUGCUGGGAGGGCAAGGUCGGGGCCAAGAAGGGUUGCUAAGGGGCUGUUCCCCACUGUGAGUUCGCCAACUGAACUCCUGACAAGUAAAUAGGAUGAGUAAUUAGAUAUUAUAAUUUAAAGAUUAAUGGUGUCAAAGGAAUUGUCCCCUCAACGCCUGUGCGUGUAGGCUAGCUCCUCUGAAGUUGCCCAGCUGUAGUAGCGCAUUCAGUCAGUCCCAGUUUGCAUUGUAAAUAUGACUGUGUUGAUAAAUCCACAGACCAACCGUCCACUCCUCCAUGAGUGCUUGGAUGGUUUCCAACAUGUAAAACCUAGCAACAGGAUUUGUCUCAGGCCUCUGAGAAAGACCAAGUGGUGUGCUGGCACACAAACCAACGACAUAUGGAUCUUUGUUUUGCUUAGUGCAUUUUGUCAGCUGGUUAGCAGAGUGGAUUGCUAUUCUUACUGGUUGUGCAUUACAGCUAUGUUUUCAUGGUUUUGUAUUUUUGUAUGACAUUUUUUGUAG
Oncorhynchus gorbuscha (pink salmon) is the source of this 894-nucleotide long non-coding RNA. RefSeq lists it as uncharacterized. NCBI's taxonomy places the organism in Eukaryota, Metazoa, Chordata, Actinopteri, Salmoniformes, Salmonidae. The record is from RefSeq and is a predicted model, not a curated record. The transcript is spliced from 3 exons.